UAAGGGCGCACGGUGGAUGCCUUGGCACUAGAAGCCGAUGAAGGACGUUACUAACGACGAUAUGCUUUGGGGAGCUGUAAGUAAGCUUUGAUCCAGAGAUUUCCGAAUGGGGAAACCCAGCAUGAGUUAUGUCAUGUUAUCGAUAUGUGAAUACAUAGCAUAUCAGAAGGCACACCCGGAGAACUGAAACAUCUUAGUACCCGGAGGAAGAGAAAGAAAAUUCGAUUCCCUUAGUAGCGGCGAGCGAAACGGGAAGAGCCCAAACCAACAAGCUUGCUUGUUGGGGUUGUAGGACACUCUAUACGGAGUUACAAAGGACGACAUUAGACGAAUCAUCUGGAAAGAUGAAUCAAAGAAGGUAAUAAUCCUGUAGUCGAAAAUGUUGUCUCUCUUGAGUGGAUCCUGAGUACGACGGAGCACGUGAAAUUCCGUCGGAAUCUGGGAGGACCAUCUCCUAAGGCUAAAUACUCUCUAGUGACCGAUAGUGAACCAGUACCGUGAGGGAAAGGUGAAAAGCACCCCGGAAGGGGAGUGAAAUAGAACCUGAAACCGUGUGCUUACAAGUAGUCAGAGCCCGUUAAUGGGUGAUGGCGUGCCUUUUGUAGAAUGAACCGGCGAGUUACGAUUUGAUGCAAGGUUAAGCAGUAAAUGUGGAGCCGUAGCGAAAGCGAGUCUGAAUAGGGCGUUUAGUAUUUGGUCGUAGACCCGAAACCAGGUGAUCUACCCUUGGUCAGGUUGAAGUUCAGGUAACACUGAAUGGAGGACCGAACCGACUUACGUUGAAAAGUGAGCGGAUGAACUGAGGGUAGCGGAGAAAUUCCAAUCGAACCUGGAGAUAGCUGGUUCUCUCCGAAAUAGCUUUAGGGCUAGCCUCAAGUGAUGAUUAUUGGAGGUAGAGCACUGUUUGGACGAGGGGCCCCUCUCGGGUUACCGAAUUCAGACAAACUCCGAAUGCCAAUUAAUUUAACUUGGGAGUCAGAACAUGGGUGAUAAGGUCCGUGUUCGAAAGGGAAACAGCCCAGACCACCAGCUAAGGUCCCAAAAUAUAUGUUAAGUGGAAAAGGAUGUGGCGUUGCCCAGACAACUAGGAUGUUGGCUUAGAAGCAGCCAUCAUUUAAAGAGUGCGUAAUAGCUCACUAGUCGAGUGACACUGCGCCGAAAAUGUACCGGGGCUAAACAUAUUACCGAAGCUGUGGAUUGUCCUUUGGACAAUGGUAGGAGAGCGUUCUAAGGGCGUUGAAGCAUGAUCGUAAGGACAUGUGGAGCGCU
Molecule: ribosomal RNA, 1269 nt
Filed under: Staphylococcus aureus
Lineage: Bacteria; Bacillati; Bacillota; Bacilli; Caryophanales; Staphylococcaceae
Description: partial 23S ribosomal RNA
Rfam family: Bacterial large subunit ribosomal RNA
Source: RNAcentral